AAAUAAUGUAAAACUAACAGCCCCCGAAAAUAAAAGAUCUAGAAAUAUACUAUCAUUUUGAGUUAUUACAAAAUACUGUCGCAUUAGGUAUCUAAAAAUAUAUUUCUAGGGGUGAAAGACCUUCACUUUUAUUGAUAUCUGGACGAAUAUUAAAUAAAUUUAGUUUAAUAUAUAGUUAUAAUGUUAUAAGAUAUUGUAAGCGGAAAUUGUUAUGUAUAUACACUUAAGUCAUUAACUACUACUUAACGACAUUAACUUUGUUGAUAAUAUGCCUACAUUUAAAAUUCCAUAGUAAUAUUUUACUUUAAUAAAGUUACGUUAAAAUAAAUAAUGUAUAAAUUAGUAGAUAUAAUAAAUUUAAAUGAAGGAAUUCGGCAAAUAUUUUAUACGACUGUUUAUCAAAAACAUAGCCAGUAGAUUUGAAAUUACUGGUGCGACCUGCCCAGUGAGAUUUUAACGGCCGCAGUACCCUGACUGUGCAAAGGUAGCAUAAUCAUUUGGCUUUUAAUUGAAGUCUCGUAUGAAAGGAAAAACGUAUAAAGACUGUCUCCAGAAAUAAAUCUAUUAAAGUUGUUCUAUAAGGUGAAAAUACCUUAAAUAAUAAAAAUAGACGAGAAGACCCUUAGAAUUUUAAUAAGACCAAAACCAUAUGUGGGGUAAUUUUUGUUGGGGCAACAUUUUUUCAUAAAAUAAAAAAUACCCGUUAAAUAUAUAACGAAUGAGUAUAAUAAAGUAAAAAUUACCUAAGGGAUAACAGCAUAAUUUUAAGUGAAGAUUGUGACCUCGAUGUUGGACUAGGAACUAUUAAGGCUAAUCGUUUUAAUAUAAUAGGUUCUGUUCGAACUUUGCUUCCUA
This 855-nucleotide ribosomal RNA is filed under the name Montenegrina laxa miraka. Its description in RNAcentral is "partial 16S ribosomal RNA". Lineage: Eukaryota; Metazoa; Mollusca; Gastropoda; Stylommatophora; Clausiliidae. The record is from RNAcentral.